Molecule: ribosomal RNA, 327 nt
Filed under: uncultured eukaryote
Lineage: Eukaryota
Description: partial 18S ribosomal RNA
Rfam family: Eukaryotic small subunit ribosomal RNA
Source: RNAcentral
CCCUUAGAUGUUCUGGGCCGCACACGCGCUACACUGAAGGAGGCGGCGUGUACUCCUGGAUCGAAAGAUUUGGGUAACCCGCGAAUCUCCUUCGUGCUAGGGAUUGAGGUUUGCAAUUAUCCUUCAUGAACGAGGAAUUCCCAGUAAGUGCAAGUCAUAAGCUUGCGCUGACUACGUCCCUGCCCUUUGUACACACCGCCCGUCGCUACUACCGAUUGAAUGAUUUAGUGAGGACUUCGGACUGGGACCGAUGCGGCUUUCGGGCUGCGUCGGUAUUCUGGAAAGAUGUCCAAACUGUAUCAUUUAGAGGAAGUAAAANUCGUANCA